GACGAACGCUGGCGGCGUGCCUAAUACAUGCAAGUCGAGCGGCAGCACGGUCUUCGGACUGGUGGCGAGCGGCGGACGGCUGAGUAACGCGUAGGAACGUACCCCAAAGUGAGGGAUAACUGCUCGAAAGAGUAGCUAAUACCGCAUGUGAUCUAAGGAUUAAAGCUUCGGCGCUUUGGGAACGGUCUGCGUCCGAUUAGCUAGUUGGUGAGGUAAAGGCUCACCAAGGCGACGAUCGGUAGCUGGUCUGAGAGGAUGAUCAGCCAGACUGGGACUGAGACACGGCCCAGACUCCUACGGGAGGCAGCAGUAGGGAAUUUUCCACAAUGGGCGAAAGCCUGAUGGAGCAACGCCGCGUGCAGGAUGAAUGCCUUAGGGUUGUAAACUGCUUUUAUAUGUGACGAAUAUGACGGUAGCAUAUGAAUAAGGAUCGGCUAACUCCGUGCCAGCCGCCGCAGUAA
RNAcentral lists this ribosomal RNA (461 nucleotides) under uncultured bacterium. RNAcentral's name for it is "partial 16S ribosomal RNA". It matches the Rfam family "Bacterial small subunit ribosomal RNA", at positions 28 to 523 of the family's 1533-position model. The record is from RNAcentral.